This 505-nucleotide ribosomal RNA is filed under the name uncultured bacterium. RNAcentral's name for it is "partial 16S ribosomal RNA". The record is from RNAcentral.
GGAGUUAGCCGGUGCUUCUUCUGUGAGUGAUGUCCUUCCUGCCGGUUAUUGACCCGCAGGCCUUCUUCCUCACUGAAAGUGCUUUACAACCCGAAGGCCUUCUUCACACACGCGGCAUGGCUGGAUCAGGGUUGCCCCCAUUGUCCAAUAUUCCCCACUGCUGCCUCCCGUAGGAGUCUGGGCCGUGUCUCAGUCCCAGUGUGGCUGAUCAUCCUCUCAGACCAGCUACGGAUCGUCGCCUUGGUGAGCCGUUACCUCACCAACCAGCUAAUCCGACAUAGGCUCAUCCGAUAGCGCGAGGCCCGAAGGUCCCCCGCUUUCCCCCGUAGGGCGUAUGCGGUAUUAGCCUGGGUUUCCCCAGGUUAUCCCCCACUACCGGGCAGAUUCCUAUGCAUUACUCACCCGUCCGCCGCUCGCCACCAGGGAGCAAGCUCCCCGUGCUGCCGCUCGACUUGCNUGUGUAGCNGCGCCAGCGUCAUCUGAGCAGAACUACGAACCCGUACGA